AAGGAUAUAUUCGGAACAUCUUCUUUAGGAGAUGACAGAGGAAUAACAUUGACAUAUUGUAUUCAGUUUUGAAUGCUCAUUGGAGUAUUCAGUGCAUAAUUUGNACAUUGAAAACUAGAUAAGUAAGUAAAAUAUAUAGAUUUUACCAAGAAAAACCGAGUGAAUUAGAGUUUUAAAUAAGCUUGAAUUCAAAAASAAAUAAUCGCUAGUGUUCGAAAGAACACUCACAGAUUAAUAACAUUUUGGGUUUUUAACCGACUUCGUCGUGUUAAAAGUCAAAAAA
This 283-nucleotide unclassified non-coding RNA is filed under the name Staphylococcus xylosus. The record is from RNAcentral. Lineage: Bacteria; Bacillati; Bacillota; Bacilli; Caryophanales; Staphylococcaceae.